Molecule: ribosomal RNA, 346 nt
Filed under: Cranidium gibbosum
Lineage: Eukaryota; Metazoa; Arthropoda; Insecta; Phasmatodea; Phasmatidae
Description: partial 12S ribosomal RNA
Source: RNAcentral
UUAAUAUUUUUAUUAUUAGAAUUAAGAUAUAUAUAUAUUAAGGUUAAAGUUAUUUAUUAGGAGGUGAAAUUUUUAUGUUAUAUAAUUUUUAUGUAGGUUUUCUUAAAUUCAAAAUUUAAACUAGGAUUAGAUACCCUAUUAUUUUGUUUGUAAAAGAUUUUAGGGUAGUAUUAGUUAUGGUCUUUAAACCUAAAGAAUUUGGCGGUGUUUUAUUCUAUUUAGAGGAACUUGUCCCUUAAUCGAUAAUCCUCGAUUUAUCUUUCUUUAUCUUGUUUUCAGUAUGUAUACCUCCGUUAUAGGUUUAUUUUAUUAGGUUUAAUUUACUUUAUAAGUUAUUAUUUAUUAU